GAUGAAGAACGUAGCGAAAUGCGAUACUUGGUGUGAAUUGCAGAAUCCCGUGAACCAUCGAGUCUUUGAACACAAGUUGCGCCCGAAGCCAUUAGGCCGAGGGCACGCCUGCCUGGGCGUCACACGUCGUUGCCCCCCCAUCUACUCCUUCGGGAUUGCGGGGGGCGGAUGAUGGCCUCCCGUGCGCCUCGUCGCGCGGUUGGCAUAAAUGCCAAGUCCUCGGCGACGCACGCCACGACAAUCGGUGGUUGCGAAACCUCGGUUGCCCGUCGUGUGCGGUCGUCGCGCAUCGAGGGCUCGAAAAAAUUGCCGGGCUCCGGCUCGACUUUCAACGCGACCCCAGGUCAGGCGGGGUUACCCGCUGAAUUUAAGCAUAUCAAUAAGCGGAGGA
RNAcentral lists this unclassified non-coding RNA (391 nucleotides) under soil metagenome. RNAcentral describes it as "partial contains 5.8S ribosomal RNA, internal transcribed spacer 2, and large subunit ribosomal RNA". The stretch from base 1 to 122 matches the Rfam family "5.8S ribosomal RNA", at positions 35 to 154 of the family's 154-position model. The record is from RNAcentral.